AGAGCGAACGCUGGCGGCAGGCCUAACACAUGCAAGUCGAGCGCCCGUAGCAAUACGGGAGCGGCAGACGGGAUAGUAACACGUGGGAACGCGCCCUUCGGUUCGGAAUAACUCAGGGAAACUUGAGCUAAUACCGAAUACGCCCUUACGGGGAAAGAUUUAUUGCCGAAGGAACGGCCCGCGUCCGAUUAGCUAGUUGGUGAGGUAAUGGCUCACCAAGGCUACGAUCGGUAGCUGGUCUGAGAGGAUGACCAGCAUCACUGGGACUGAGACACGGCCCAGACUCCUACGGGAGGCAGCAGUGGGGAAUAUUGGACAAUGGGCGCAAGCCUGAUCCAGCCAUGCCGCGUGGAUGAUGAAGGCCUUAGGGUUGUAAAGUCCUUUUAACGGGGGAGAUAAUGACGGUACCCGUAGAAUAAGCCCCGGCUAACUUCGUGCCAGCAGCCGC
RNAcentral lists this ribosomal RNA (448 nucleotides) under uncultured bacterium. Its description in RNAcentral is "SSU rRNA". It matches the Rfam family "Bacterial small subunit ribosomal RNA", at positions 26 to 518 of the family's 1533-position model. The record is from RNAcentral.